AUGAAUGAUGAUGCCAACCCUGACGAUCUGUUUGACGAUGAGUAUUACAUGUUUGCUGGUGAAGGCUCAUAUGCUAAUGACAUGCAGCACGACGAAGUGGAAGACUCAAGUGACAAUACUUAUAUCAAUGAUGAUCCAUUUGACUAUAUGUACUCGAACCUACCAGACAGCACACACAUCCUAAAGCACGACACGAACUGCGACCACCACAAGGCCAAGAAGUUUGAGUCAGAAGACAUGGGUUUCUGCUGCCGCAAUGGGCAGAUCGAGCCGAAGGCACCGGAGCCCAUCCCAAAGCUAAUGAGGCUUUGGUCCAGCACGGAUGAGGACUCUAGCCAUUUUUGGGUGAACAUACGGUUCUUUAACGGCCACUUCUCCUUCACAACCCUUGGCGUCAGCUCGAUGAAAACUACACAAACAUGA
RNAcentral lists this ribosomal RNA (423 nucleotides) under Triticum aestivum (bread wheat). RNAcentral describes it as "partial small subunit ribosomal RNA". Lineage: Eukaryota; Viridiplantae; Streptophyta; Magnoliopsida; Poales; Poaceae. The record is from RNAcentral.